Molecule: ribosomal RNA, 253 nt
Filed under: uncultured bacterium
Lineage: Bacteria
Description: partial 16S ribosomal RNA
Rfam family: Bacterial small subunit ribosomal RNA
Source: RNAcentral
GACGUAGGGGGCCAGCGUUGUUCGGAAUUACUGGGUGUAAAGGGUUCGUAGGCGGUGCGGCAAGUUGGGAGUGAAAUCUCUGGGCUCAACCCAGAGGCUGCUUCCAAAACUGCUGUGCUUGAGUGUGAGAGAGGCUCGUGGAAUUGCAGGUGUAGCGGUGAAAUGCGUAGAUAUCUGCAGGAACACCCGUGGCGAAAGCGGCGAGCUGGAUCACUACUGACGCUGAGGAACGAAAGCUAGGGUAGCGAACGGG